CCCUUAGAUGUUCUGGGCCGCACGCGCGCUACACUGAACAGUUCGACAAGUCUUAACCUUGGCCGAUAGGUCUGGGUAAUCUUUGAACGCUGUUCGUGAUUGGGAUAGACCUUUGCAAUUAUGGGUCUUCAACGAGGAAUUCCUAGUAAACGCAAGUCAUCAGCUUGCAUUGAUUACGUCCCUGCCCUUUGUACACACCGCCCGUCGCACCUACCGAUUGAAUGGUCCGGUGAAAUCUCGGGACGGCGGCUUGGUCGCUUGCGUCCGACUGCUGAAACUUGAUUAAACCAUAUCAUUUAGAGGAAGGUGAAGUCGUANCA
RNAcentral lists this ribosomal RNA (320 nucleotides) under uncultured eukaryote. Its description in RNAcentral is "partial 18S ribosomal RNA". It matches the Rfam family "Eukaryotic small subunit ribosomal RNA", at positions 1470 to 1796 of the family's 1831-position model. The record is from RNAcentral.